GGGCCUUUGGUGAAAUUCGGCAUCACACCUGCCUUGCAAGCAGGAGUUCCGGGUUCGAGCCCCGGCUGGUCCACC
RNAcentral lists this transfer RNA (75 nucleotides) under Paraplanobispora siamensis. RNAcentral's name for it is "Planobispora siamensis tRNA-Ala". It matches the Rfam family "tRNA". From Rfam's summary of the family: Transfer RNA (tRNA) molecules are approximately 80 nucleotides in length. Lineage: Bacteria; Bacillati; Actinomycetota; Actinomycetes; Streptosporangiales; Streptosporangiaceae. The record is from RNAcentral.